This 467-nucleotide ribosomal RNA is filed under the name uncultured bacterium. Its description in RNAcentral is "partial 16S ribosomal RNA". It matches the Rfam family "Bacterial small subunit ribosomal RNA", at positions 28 to 506 of the family's 1533-position model. The record is from RNAcentral.
GACGAACGCUGGCGGCGUGCUUAACACAUGCAAGUCGAACGGAAAGGCCCUGCUUUUGUGGGGUGCUCGAGUGGCGAACGGGUGAGUAACACGUGAGUAACCUGCCCUUGACUUUGGGAUAACUUCAGGAAGCUGGGGCUAAUACCGGAUAGGAGCUCCUGCUGCAUGGUGGGGGUUGGAAAGUUUCGGCGGUUGGGGAUGGACUCGCGGCUUAUCAGCUUGUUGGUGGGGUAGUGGCUUACCAAGGCUUUGACGGGUAGCCGGCCUGAGAGGGUGACCGGCCACAUGGGGACUGAGAUACGGCCCAGACUCCUACGGGAGGCAGCAGUGGGGAAUAUUGCACAAUGGGCGGAAGCCUGAUGCAGCAACGCCGCGUGCGGGAUGACGGCCUUCGGGUUGGAAACCGCUUUCGCCUGUGACGAAGCGUGAGUGACGGUAAUGGGUAAAGAAGCACCGGCUAACUACGU